AAGGUUUGACAUGGAGGGCAAAGUUGAAGAAAUUCAACGGAGGUUAUCCCGACACAGGUGGUGCAUGGUCGUCGUCAGUUCGUGCUGUGAAGCAUAUGCUUAAGUGCUAUAACGAACGCAACCCUCGUAUUUAGUUACUAUCAUUCAGUUGAGAACUCUAAAUAGACUGCUAAGGUAACUUAGAGGAAGGAGAGGAUGACGUCUGAUUCAUCAUGCCCCUUAUAUCUUGGGCUACA
Molecule: ribosomal RNA, 236 nt
Filed under: uncultured bacterium
Lineage: Bacteria
Description: partial 16S ribosomal RNA
Rfam family: Bacterial small subunit ribosomal RNA
Source: RNAcentral